This 928-nucleotide ribosomal RNA is filed under the name uncultured bacterium. RNAcentral's name for it is "bacterial SSU rRNA". It matches the Rfam family "Bacterial small subunit ribosomal RNA", at positions 12 to 916 of the family's 1533-position model. The record is from RNAcentral.
UUUGAUCAUGGCUCAGGACAAACGUUGGCGGCGUNCNNANUACAUGCAAGUCGAACGGAACUUUUUUAGCAAUAGAAAAGUUUAGUGGCAAACGGGUGAGUAAUGCAUGGGUAACUUUCUUUUAAGUUCGGGACAACCACCUGAAAGGGUGGCUAAUACCGGAUGUGAUCACGAAAUCGCAAGGUUAUGUGAUUAAAGAUGGCCUCUACUUGUAAGCUAUCGCUUAGAAAUAGGCCCAUGUCCAAUUAGCUUGUUGGUAGGGUAAUGGCCUACCAAAGCUACGAUUGGUAGUCGGUCUGAGAGGGUGUACGGCCACACUGGGACUGCGACACGGCCCAGACUCCUACGGGAGGCAGCAGUAGGGAAUCUUCCGCAAUGGGCGAAAGCCUGACGGAGCGACGCCGCGUGAAGGAUGAAGGCCUUAGGGUUGUAAACUUCUUUUAGCAAGGAAUAAAUGCAGUAGGGUUAAUACCCCUAUUGUUUGACGGUACUUGCAGAAAAAGCUUCGGCUAACUCUGUGCCAGCAGCCGCGGUAAUACAGAGGAAGCAAACGUUGUCCGGAUUUACUGGGCGUAAAGGGCUUGUAGGCGGCCAAACCAGUCAGGUGUGAAAUCGUUCUGCUCAACAGAACAAUUGCAUUUGAUACUAUUUGGCUUGAGUGCAGAAAGGGAAAACGGAAUUUCCGGUGUAGCGGUGAAAUGCGUAGAUAUCGGAAAGAACACCCGUGGCGAAGGCGGUUUUCUGGUCUGUAACUGACGCUGAGGAGCGAAAGCUAGGGGAGCAAACGGGAUUAGAUACCCCGGUAGUCCUAGCUGUAAACGAUGUACACUAGGUGUAGGAUGUUCAUUCAUUCUGUGCCGCCGGUAACCCAUUAAGUGUACCGCCUGGGGACUACGAUCGCAAGAUUGAAACUCAAAUGAAUUGACGG